This 468-nucleotide ribosomal RNA is filed under the name uncultured bacterium. Its description in RNAcentral is "partial 16S ribosomal RNA". It matches the Rfam family "Bacterial small subunit ribosomal RNA", at positions 28 to 507 of the family's 1533-position model. The record is from RNAcentral.
GACGAACGCUGGCGGCGUGCUUAACACAUGCAAGUCGAACGGAAAGGUCCUGCUUUUUUGGGCUGCUCGACUUACGAACGGGUGAGUAACACGUGAGUAACCAACCCUUCACUUAGGGUUAACCUAAGGAAGGAUAGGCUAAUACGGCCUAGGAGCUAUCGCUUCUGGGUGGGGGUGGGAAAGUUUAGGCGGUUGGUGAUGGACAGGCGUCGUAACAGCUUGUUGGUGGGGUAGUGUCUUACCAAGGCUUGGAAGGGUGGCCGGCCUGCGAGGGUGACAGGCCACAUUGGGACUGGGAUGCGGCCCGGACUCCUACGGGAGGCAUCGGUGAGGAAUAGAGCACGAUAGGCGGAGGGCUGAUGCAGCAACGCCGCGUGCUGGAUGUCGGCCAUCGGGUAGGAAAGCGCUUUCGCCUGUGACGGAGCGUGAGUGACGGUAAUGGGUAAAGAAGCACCGGCUAACUACGUG